RNAcentral lists this ribosomal RNA (238 nucleotides) under uncultured bacterium. RNAcentral describes it as "partial 16S ribosomal RNA". It matches the Rfam family "Bacterial small subunit ribosomal RNA", at positions 96 to 334 of the family's 1533-position model. The record is from RNAcentral.
CGGCGGACGGGUGAGUAACGCGUGGGUAACCUGCCUCAUACAGGGGGAUAACAGUUAGAAAUGGCUGCUAAUACCGCAUAAGACCACAGCACCGCAUGGUGCAGGGGUAAAAACUCCGGUGGUAUGAGAUGGACCCGCGUCUGAUUAGCUGGUUGGUGGGGUAACGGCCUACCAAGGCGACGAUCAGUAGCCGACCUGAGAGGGUGACCGGCCACGUUGGGACUGAGACACGGCCCAA